This is a long non-coding RNA of Girardinichthys multiradiatus, 252 nucleotides long. RefSeq lists it as uncharacterized. NCBI's taxonomy places the organism in Eukaryota, Metazoa, Chordata, Actinopteri, Cyprinodontiformes, Goodeidae. The transcript has 3 exons. The record is from RefSeq and is a predicted model, not a curated record.
GGAAGAGCAACAGGUAUCGGUGAAUCCCAUGUGUGCAAAGGACCAGGAAGCACUACAAACAGGGCAACUUGUCAAAGAGCUACAACAAACACAAAGAGAACUAUCACAAAUUCAACAAAUAAACAAGAAUCUGCAAGACGAGCUACAACAAGAAAGAGAGAAUAAUUCAGGGAAACUUCUUUGUGUACAGGACAUCAACUCAUCUCCAAACCAAGCCUUAACUUUCCAGAAAAUUGCAGAGAAUAAAUCACA